CGCCUGUUUAUCAAAAACAUCGCCUUUUGUGUAACCAAAAAUAAAAGGUCCUGCCUGCCCAGUGAAUUUUUUUAUCAACGGCCGCGGUAUUUUGACCGUGCAAAGGUAGCGCAAUCAUUUGUCUUUUAAAUGAAGACCUGUAUGAACGGCACAACGAGGGCUUAGCUGUCUCCUUUUUCUGGUCAAUGAAAUUGAUCCCCCCGUGCAAAAGCGGGGAUACACCCAUAAGACGAGAAGACCCUAUGGAGCUUUAGAUGUGACGCAAGCCAUAUCUGCUACUUCCAAAUAAAGGAAAUUAACAUACUAGCCUUUGCUUCAACAUCUUCGGUUGGGGUGACCAUGGGGAACAAAAAACCCCCACGUCCCUGUACUGGAGUCUUCUUAAGAACCCACUAUACUCACUGAAACAAGAGCCACAACUCUAGUUAACAGAAUUUCUGACUACCGAUCCGGCAACGCCGAUUAACGAACCAAGUUACCCUAGGGAUAACAGCGCAAUCCCCUUUCAGAGCCCAUAUCGACAAGGGGGCUUACGACCUCGAUGUUGGAUCAGGGCAUCCUAACGGUGCAACCGCUGUUAAGGGUUCGUUUGUUCAACGAUUAAAGCCCUACGUGAUCUGAGUUCAGACCGG
RNAcentral lists this ribosomal RNA (632 nucleotides) under Centropomus unionensis. RNAcentral's name for it is "partial 16S ribosomal RNA". It matches the Rfam family "Bacterial large subunit ribosomal RNA", at positions 1797 to 2619 of the family's 2925-position model. The record is from RNAcentral. Lineage: Eukaryota; Metazoa; Chordata; Actinopteri; Centropomidae.